Molecule: ribosomal RNA, 450 nt
Filed under: uncultured bacterium
Lineage: Bacteria
Description: bacterial SSU rRNA
Rfam family: Bacterial small subunit ribosomal RNA
Source: RNAcentral
GUGGGGAAUAUUGGACAAUGGGCGAAAGCCUGAUCCAGCCAUGCCGCGUGUGUGAAGAAGGUCUUCGGAUUGUAAAGCACUUUAAGUUGGGAGGAAGGGCAGUAAGUUAAUACCUUGCUGUUUUGACGUUACCGACAGAAUAAGCACCGGCUAACUUCGUGCCAGCAGCCGCGGUAAUACGAAGGGUGCAAGCGUUAAUCGGAAUUACUGGGCGUAAAGCGCGCAUAGGUGGUUUUGUAAGUUGGAGGUGAAAUCCCCGGGCUCAACCUGGGAACUGCCUCCAAAACUGCAUGACUAGAGUACGGUAGAGGGUAGUGGAAUUGCCUGUGUAGCGGUGAAAUGCGUAGAUAUAGGAAGGAACACCAGUGGCGAAGGCGACUACCUGGACUGAUACUGACACUGAGGUGCGAAAGCGUGGGGAGCAAACAGGAUUAGAUACCCCAGUAGUCC